CUGCCACCGCUCAUGUCACGAUGACCCUAUCUACCACACACCUAGGCAGAGUGGCCUGUACUGAAAGGAUGUCGAGUGCUAAGAAGUGAGCAAUCUGUACUGACAGGAUGUCGGACGCUUAGGGGUAAUACCCCAAUUGAAUGGUGUCAUGUGGUCUAGGUUACUACAUCACAUUCCCUAUAAAUUGGAGUUCACAGUAGGUAGCAGGUCUCCUUAACUGGACAAUCGGCGUGCGGUCAACUGCGCUAGUAGUAGCCAUCAUCAGUGUACUAUUUUUUUAGCGGUCCAAUCAUCAAACAACAUCACAUACUGCUCAAGGCGACUCUCUUUUCGAUCGACCCUUUCUUUGUGGAUCUAUUUCUUGUUUCAUUUGUAGUUUUAAUUUCAUGCACUAUAUUUGUUGCUUUUGGGGUGAUCGUUGGGUAAUGGCCAAGUUGCUCAAAAAAGAAGAAGCAGCAUAGCAGUACAAAAA
This is a long non-coding RNA of Alnus glutinosa, 472 nucleotides long. RefSeq lists it as uncharacterized. NCBI's taxonomy places the organism in Eukaryota, Viridiplantae, Streptophyta, Magnoliopsida, Fagales, Betulaceae. The record is from RefSeq and is a predicted model, not a curated record. The transcript is spliced from 2 exons.